GACGAACGCUGGCGGCGUGCUUAACACAUGCAAGUCGAACGGAAAGGCCCCCUUGUGGGGUACUCGAGUGGCGAACGGGUGAGUAACACGUGAGUAACCUACCCUUGACUUUGGGAUAACUUCAGGAAACUGGGGCUAAUACCGGAUAGGAGCUCCUGCUGCAUGGUGGGGGUUGGAAAGUUUCGGCGGUUGGGGAUGGACUCGCGGCUUAUCAGCUUGUUGGUGGGGUAAUGGCUCACCAAGGCUUUGACGGGUAGCCGGCCUGAGAGGGUGACCGGCCACAUUGGGACUGAGAUACGGCCCAGACUCCUACGGGAGGCAGCAGUGGGGAAUAUUGCACAAUGGGCGGAAGCCUGAUGCAGCAACGCCGCGUGCGGGAUGACGGCCUUCGGGUUGUAAACCGCUUUCGCCUGUGACGAAGCGUGAGUGACGGUAAUGGGUAAAGAAGCACCGGCUAACUACGUG
RNAcentral lists this ribosomal RNA (465 nucleotides) under uncultured bacterium. Its description in RNAcentral is "partial 16S ribosomal RNA". It matches the Rfam family "Bacterial small subunit ribosomal RNA", at positions 28 to 507 of the family's 1533-position model. The record is from RNAcentral.